This 1220-nucleotide long non-coding RNA is filed under the name Triticum aestivum (bread wheat). RNAcentral's name for it is "long non-coding RNA (TAES_LNC001167)". The record is from RNAcentral. Lineage: Eukaryota; Viridiplantae; Streptophyta; Magnoliopsida; Poales; Poaceae.
UCAUAUAGUUGAUAGGUACACAUUUAGCACAAUCAAACACACGAUUUCCAACCAAUAAAAUCCUUCUUCUAAGCCAAACAUUUAGAUCAUAUACCGACUUCUCGUCGAACCUACCAAAAAAAGGAAAAUUAGCAACAUAAAUAUUUGCAAGUGAUGUAGGUCGAAUAGUAAUCAAAUAACUACAGGAGAACAACUGAGCAAUAUUUGACGAAAUGCUAAACUGCAAGUGCCCACAAGCACACAUAUUCCUUAACUAAAAUACAUCUACUCACAACCAGACUGCGCUGAACAUGCUAAAUUACAGAAUAUGUUCUAGCGGUUGUUGCCUUGCAACCACGAAAUAGUAGUCAACAUAAACAAAAUGGUAUCAUUUUUAAUAGGAAUCUAAAUCUGCCAAGACACCAUAUAAUGCACAAAAAUCUAAUUUGGUCUCGUCAUCUCUGGCUCCACUUCGAGCCCUUGCAGUUUGGGGCGUAAGACCUGCUGCUUUCUUGAUCUUGUAGUUCUUCAGCUUCACACCUAAAUCCAAGGGUUUCUCCUGGAAACUCCUAAGCUUAUCGAAUAUCAUUUUGACCUGCCAUGUAAAUCAUCGUUUUUAAAAAAUUUCAGUGAUUUGGUGAAAACAAAAAAUCCAAGUGUAGUUUGAGCUGAUACUAAGUAUAUAUGUGCAUAUGCCUGACGAAGUCAUGCGAUUUUAUAUAAAGGGAAAUAUAACAAACCUAGCUUGGAGAAUUUCUGUCUAACUAACUCUUCUAAAACAAGCUGAUCCACCACAGAAUCAAGUAUAGUGAAGUUCCAUACGAAGCUGGAAUAGGUAGCAAAAAUUAGGAGACAACACGUAGGAGAGAAGACAAUAUAUCAAGGGCAGGCAUUAUCCUCUGUUUCAAUGUAUCGUAAUCCUAAAAGGCCAGUAGAGUUUGAAAAUCAUGCCUUAUGUAUAUUGACAUCUUGAUUUCCUAGUCUAAUCAACACUAAACCAGAAUGCCAAAGAAUAAAAAGCUUCAGGCUAUGCAACGAAUACAUUACAGUGGUAACUAAUAACAAGCUACCUGGACCACCCAGGUGUUGUAUUUUCUCCAAACUUAAUCCCAAGUUACAUAUUGUUGGUAUAUAUCAGUGUGCUAUUCUAGUAAACCUUGACCAUAUAUAUCAACACCCGUUGUUGAAAAAAUAAGUGGAAAAGGACAAAUAUUAUCCUGUGUCCAAAUUCUGGUUAAAAG